RNAcentral lists this ribosomal RNA (567 nucleotides) under Triticum aestivum (bread wheat). RNAcentral describes it as "partial small subunit ribosomal RNA". Lineage: Eukaryota; Viridiplantae; Streptophyta; Magnoliopsida; Poales; Poaceae. The record is from RNAcentral.
AUGGUGCCAAAUCUUGAAGCUCUUAACAUACAUUCGUCUUAUGUGAGGGAUAUACUGGUGGUACCUGGCAAAUUCCUCCACCUCCAGCAUCUGUGUAUUGGGGCCUUUACCCCAGACUAUGAUUAUUUCUGUCUGGCUUCUUUACUUGAUGCUUGUCCUUCCUUGGAGACUUUCAUAUUGUCUGCAGAGCCGGAUUGCAUGGAGCAAGAAUCAGUUUUAGGAGAUUCUUUUCAUGAUCUAAGGCAGAUGCCAGGACACAUGCAUAGGAACAUCAAGGAUGUGCAGAUCAUUGGUUUUUGUUCUGCGAAGAGCAUGGUUGAGCUGACAUGCCAUAUUCUUGAGAAUUCCAAGCUGCUUAAGCGCCUUAAACUGAGCACCUGUUACAAUGGUGAGAUUUUGUGUUCCUACAACAAUAAUGGUAAAUGUCUCCCGAUGAGUAGGGGUAUGAUCAUGGAAGCCCAUAAAGCUCUCUUGGCGGUGGAAAGAUAUAUUUUGGGGAAAGUUCCCUCAACCGUCGAGUUAAAAGUUGAGGAGCCUUGCAGCCGUUGCAAUGCUCUUGAAAUCUAG